This 365-nucleotide long non-coding RNA is filed under the name Anas platyrhynchos platyrhynchos (common mallard). Its description in RNAcentral is "lncRNA (ENSAPLG00000027776.1)". The record is from RNAcentral. Lineage: Eukaryota; Metazoa; Chordata; Aves; Anseriformes; Anatidae.
GUCUUGUCCUCCUAACAAUCUUACUCCUUUCAACUGUUUUCUGUGAUUUUUAUAUAUAUAUAUAUAUGUAGAUAAAUAGAUAGAUAUGAGUUCUUGUUUUUAUGUAUUUUUCUUCUGCACUCUGGAAUAAUCUUCAUGAAGAAUGGUAAUUUGCUCAGCAGCCACUAGCUACACUUGGGGAAAAUGCCAAGCACUCUUAACUACUGUGUUCACUUGGAAAUUACUUCACUGGCACUUGUCUGGGAACACAGAAGAGACACAACCUAAUCGAUCCAUAAAGGACGGAAACUAUUUCUUUAUUCACAACAGAUGACAGUCAUGUAUUCAGAAAUAAACUUUUCUAGGAAGCAAAGGAAUAUAGUAGA